RNAcentral lists this ribosomal RNA (1179 nucleotides) under Triticum aestivum (bread wheat). RNAcentral's name for it is "partial small subunit ribosomal RNA". Lineage: Eukaryota; Viridiplantae; Streptophyta; Magnoliopsida; Poales; Poaceae. The record is from RNAcentral.
AUGAUGGACGUCAUGUCAAGCACGCCGCCGGAGAUCGAGUGGGCACUCCCGGCGGAUCUGUUGCUUGGGAUCACGGUGCGCUCCGACAUCCGCACCCUCGUUCGCUGCGCGGCGUUAUGCAAGCUUCUUCGACGAGACAUCCUCGACCCGUUCUUCAUCCGCCGCGUCACCCAGCACGGCAUCGUGCCUCCGUGCAUCCUCGCCUACCUCCAGAUGCCCCUCUCUUUGGUGCACCCAACCAUCCCUAGCGCCGCGUUGUUUUCUGACAACCAUUUUCUACCUUUCAUGCGUCGCGACACAAGUGGCAUCGUUGGGGACUACUAUCCUGUGACGUCCCGCGGCGGCCUCGUCCUUCUACGUCGUCGUCUUCAUGUCCGCAGCAGCCGCCCAGCUGAUCUGUGCGUGUACGACCCCAUCACCGGUCAUCGCACCUUCCUCUCGAAGCCACCAGGCAUCCCGUACAAUAGCGUGAUUUUUCACAGAUGUGUCUUGCUCACGGCCGCAGACGGCAUUGACUGUUCCUUCUUGAUAUUUGUUGGCAGUCUCAACACAUCAUUAUUUCCGCGUGCCGUCAUAGUUCAGAUCUUCACCUCAUUGACCAACACUUGGGGACCCAUCCUCACCCAUGAAAACUUCACAACAUUGUGGCUAGAGGUAGGUUUCGACGCUGUCGUCCUCCAUGAUGGCGUCAUCCACUGGUUGGCGCACGAUGGUGAAAAGAUACUCACCUACGACGUCCGCAUAGCCAAGCCAGGCAUAUUGGAGCUCCCUGUCUUUGACCCGGCCACUACCAAAUUCAAAGGAGGACAACUUCACCUGGGAUCCUACUCCUCACCGGAUGGGCACAUGCUACUAAGGCUACUCGUCGUCGUUGGGUCGACAAUGUCCGUGUGGCAUCAUCUCCCAUGUGGUGGUUGGGUUCUAGAGACUAUGACAGACAUGGAGGAUAAGCUACGGUUGCUCGACCAUAGUGCCCCUCCCGAGCAGCCUCUGGAGAUUUGGUUUAUGCUCUCCGGUGAGAGAAGCAAUGUCGUCUUGUUGCAUAUGCGUACAAGUUCGAUGACCAUUUUGCUUGACUUGGAGACAGAGGAGAUGCACGUGACACGCUCGGCUCCAUCAGCCACGCUCUUGGAGAUCGACAUGCCUUCUCGGUUGCGAGCCAUGACAAUAUUUUCCUAA